Molecule: non-coding RNA, 501 nt
Organism: Mesocricetus auratus (golden hamster)
Lineage: Eukaryota; Metazoa; Chordata; Mammalia; Rodentia; Cricetidae
Source: the annotation of a RefSeq genome assembly
ACUUUUCAAGGCAGAUGCUCAGAAACCAACCAGCUUGUGAUCAGGCCCGGAGCUGCAUCUUCUGUGACCUGUUCUUCAAUGGGAAGAAUGGACAGACUCCUGGGAAUGUCAGUGGUGACAUUAUGGCUGCAACUGACAAGGGUGAACAGCCUGCAAGGAGAAGAGAAUCCUUGGGCCUUGAGCAUCCAGGAGGGUGAAAAUGUCACUGUGAACUGCAGUUAUAAAACAUCCAUAGCUGCCAUACAGUGGUACAGACAGGACUCAGGCAAAGGCCCUACCAUGCUCAUCUUAAUACGCUCAAAUGAGAAAGAGAAACAGAGUGGAAGACUAAGAGUGACCCUGAACACCUCCACCAAGAGCAGCUCCCUGUCCAUCAAUGCUGCCUGGCCUGAAGAUACGGCAGCAUACUUCUGUGCUACAGAUGCACAGUGUGCAGCCAGCACCUGCAGCCCUGACACAAACCCUCAGAACUGCUUCCUAGACCCAAGUGGAGCCUUGUAA